This 564-nucleotide small RNA is filed under the name Pongo abelii (Sumatran orangutan). RNAcentral describes it as "processed transcript". The record is from RNAcentral. Lineage: Eukaryota; Metazoa; Chordata; Mammalia; Primates; Hominidae.
AGAGGUAGAUGUUGAAAAUGGAUCUAUUCGGCAGACAUUUUUGAGGUCUUCUUUAUGCCAGUUACCAUGUUGGGCACUUGGUAGAGGGAAUGAAGUGCGAUCUAUUGGGCUUCCUGAUGUCCAUUCAGGAUAUGGGUUUGCUAUUGGGAACAUGGCAGCCUUUGAUAUGAAUGACCCUGAAGCAGUAGUAUCCCCAGGUGGUGUCGGGUUUGACAUCAACUGUGGUGUCCGCUUGCUAAGAACCAAUUUAGAUGAAAGUGAUGUCCAGCCUGUGAAGGAGCAACUUGCCCAAGCUAUGUUUGACCACAUUCCUGUUGGGGUGGGGUCAAAAGGUGUCAUCCCAAUGAAUGCCAAAGACUUAGAGGAGGCCUUGGAGAUGGGAGUGGACUGGUCCUUAAGAGAAGGGUAUGCCUGGGCUGAAGACAAGGAGCACUGCGAGGAGUAUGGAAGAAUGCUGCAAGCUGACCCCAAUAAGGUUUCUGCAAGGGCGAAGAAAAGAGGUCUUCCUCAGUUGGGGACCCUGGGAGCAGGCAACCAUUAUGCAGAAAUCCAGGUUGUGGAUGA